RNAcentral lists this long non-coding RNA (923 nucleotides) under Prunus dulcis (almond). Its description in RNAcentral is "sRNA ncRNA". Lineage: Eukaryota; Viridiplantae; Streptophyta; Magnoliopsida; Rosales; Rosaceae. The record is from RNAcentral.
AUGAAUUUGACGGAUCGAUAUGCUACAGUGUCUCGUGCUUGUGUGAAUCUCUUGAAGAUAGAGCUUCAAACUGCUCAAAAAUGCGUUGAUUCUGUCGAGAAGUUCUUACUUCGCCUCAAACAUGUCCGUGAUCAGCUUGAUGUAGUUGCUAUUUCUGUCUCUGAUGAUGAUUUGAUGAUUGCGGUGUUGAAUGGACUUUCUUCUAAUUAUGACAUGAUCAAAAUUGUGCUUAUUGCUCGUGAAACUUCAAUUUCUUUCAAAGAUUUCAGCAAUCAUUUGUUUGCAGCUGAACAAGCCACUGAUUCUUGUGUGAUCUUGCCCCAUUCUCCUAUGGCUGGUAUGUUAAGCCAUUCUUCUACCUCUAUUGGAUUUACCUCUUCUACACCGUCUUCUAAUCUCUCUGGCGCUGGUAUUCUCCCUACUCCUUUAAUGGCUUCCCUUUCUCCUACUGGUUAUAUGAUUUCAUAUACACAUGUUCGGUCGUCUGGUUCUUUCGGUGGCCGAGGCAAACUUUCUGGUUCUAGGCCUUUUGGUCGUGGUUUUCCGAAUAACUUUCAAGGUCCUCCUAAGUCUGGUAUUAUUCCAGAAUGCCAAAUUUGCAGUAAGAGAGGUCAUACAACCACAAAUUGCUUUUUUCCAAAUUAUACCUCAUCUCAAGGCUCCUCCGUUAUGGAGUAUCAAAUUUGUGGCAAGAAGGGCCAUGGUGCAUUGGAUUGCUACCAUCGUUCCAACUAUGCCUAUCACGGAUCUCCUCCACCGUCCUCUCUCACUCCUAUGACUGCUCAAGCUUCUUUCUCUCCUAAAGUAGUGUGGAUUGCCGAUAGUGGAGCUAGUCACCAUAUGGUGUCACACAUGACUACAAUGCAUAAUGUUACACCUUGUAAUUCAGCUGAGAAUGUUGUAGUGGGCAAUGGGGAAGGUUU